GUCUACUCCAGUGCCUGUUCAUCAAGUGGAUGGAGCCAUCUAACUGAUCAUCGUGUUAGAAGUAUCUAGAACCUCUUCUCUGCAACAAAGGCAAGCCCCGGUGCAUUUGCCCCUUCCUUAUGUUUUAAAUGCUUUUUCACCUUAUCUGAUGCAUUAGGUGAUAGGAGUUGUGUGAUGAAAAAUUGAUGCAUUACCAUUCCUUGGAAACUCCUUAAUCCCUGUUUUAUAAAGAGAACUGAUAUUGCUUAGCCCUGCUUAAAAACUGAAAAAUCAUUUGUUUUCAAAAAGAAUGAUUGUGGAACAUUGGUUAUGGGCUUUUUAUUCAAAAAUCAAAGGAAACUAAGGUGAUGACUCCACUUCGGCCGGAGUGGGCUCAUCAUUGGAAAAGAGUACCCCUGCCGGGUACCAAAAAUGGGGAAAUGAUUAAUAAAUCUAGACCAGGCGCUGAGCAGACAGAGUCGCCCGUCUGUGUCGAUUAAGGACCGUACCGUUGACUGGCCUAUUGUGGUUGAGACUUUGCAACUAGCCACAUACCCUGGUAUGGGACAGGGUAAGCUUGAACCCGGCUAUUCCAUACGUGAAGAGACAAUCGCGCACUGGGAGUGGAGAGAUGGCGGGAGUAGCAUGUACCCUCCUGGCACAGCGCACGCCUGGUAGGUAAUGUGCUCUCGGGUGGCGCGGACCUAUUCAUGUAGUGGAGGACUCCAUGGGAACGGUUGACAUAUGCAAGGGUUAAGUGCUACAUAUGUCGUGUGGUUAGAGAUCCCCAGCUGGGUAUAAUCGGUUCGAAUCAUCGUUGCUCCUCGGUUAUGGAGACUCAUCCCGGUGACCAUCAUCGUAGUUAGCAAGUGAAAUAUGAGAAUGAAUAAAAUGCAGCUAGUAUAGGCCAAGUGCUUGAAAUAGACUAGGCAAAUAUAGAUGCAGGUAAUAACCUAACUAGUGAAAUAAAACUUGGUUUAAGGAUCAACUGGUAGCAAGCUUUUCUGCAAAAGGAGUCUUUGAUCAUUGAUAAACCUUACCUUGAUUCCCAAUCAACUAGCAUACCCUUGAGAGUCUUUUCUUUAGUCGGGUAAGUCUUGCUGAGUAAUUGCGUACUCAGGGUUUUAUCCCCUGUUGUUUUUGCAGGAGAAGUUUUAUUCCCUUAUCUUUUGGUUAGUUACUUCAUGUGGAGGCCUUGAAGCUUAGAAUGUUUAUGUGUAUCUCUUAUGGAAAGGCUUCACCGUUCCAAUUAUUGUAAUAAGUUAUGCACUUUGGGUACUAUCAGGACUUGUAAUAAAUACAUCUCUUUCUACCUUGUAAAACUUGAGUUCUGGAAUGUAAAGUGUACUUUGUAAAAGCCUUCCGCUCUAUCUCC
This 1354-nucleotide long non-coding RNA is filed under the name Zea mays. Its description in RNAcentral is "long non-coding RNA (ZMAY_LNC001492)". Lineage: Eukaryota; Viridiplantae; Streptophyta; Magnoliopsida; Poales; Poaceae. The record is from RNAcentral.